UACGUAGGAGGCAAGCGUUGUCCGGAAUCACUGGGCGUAAAGCGCGUGUAGGUGGAAGAGGAAGUCUGCUGUGAAAGCGCCUGGCUUAACCGGGCGAGGUCGGUGGAAACUCCUCAUCUAGAGGUCGGUAGAGGGGGGUGGAAUUCCGGGUGUAGUGGUGAAAUGCGUAGAGAUCCGGAGGAACACCUGUGGCGAAGGCGGCCCCCUGGGCCCGCACCUGACGCUGAGACGCCGAAAGCGCGGGGAGCGAACGGG
This 255-nucleotide ribosomal RNA is filed under the name uncultured bacterium. RNAcentral describes it as "partial 16S ribosomal RNA". It matches the Rfam family "Bacterial small subunit ribosomal RNA", at positions 524 to 776 of the family's 1533-position model. The record is from RNAcentral.